This 254-nucleotide ribosomal RNA is filed under the name uncultured bacterium. Its description in RNAcentral is "partial 16S ribosomal RNA". It matches the Rfam family "Bacterial small subunit ribosomal RNA", at positions 524 to 776 of the family's 1533-position model. The record is from RNAcentral.
UACGUAGGGCGCAAGCGUUUGUCCGGAAUUAUUGGGCGUAAAGAGCUCGUAGGCGGUUUGUCGCGUCUGCUGUGAAAACCUAAGGCUCAACCUUGGGCUUGCAGUGGGUACGGGCAGACUAGAGUGCGGUAGGGGAGAUUGGAAUUCCUGGUGUAGCGGUGGAAUGCGCAGAUAUCAGGAGGAACACCGAUGGCGAAGGCAGAUCUCUGGGCCGUAACUGACGCUGAGGAGCGAAAGCAUGGGGAGCGAACAGG